GAUGUCCAGUGGACCCUUGCCCAGUGAGCUGAAGUCCUCUGGAAGGGCUUGCUCCUGCAAACAUGUGACUUUUCAGAACCUAUUCCUACAGGGUUCUCUUUGCUUUUCUCCUGUGAAUUCCAUCAUUUAUGCGGAUGCAGGAAGCCUUGGCACCUCCUUGCCGGUGGUCAUCACGGCUGCUUUAAGAAGGGGUCACAGGCCUGUUUGUACAAUAAAAGCCCGGCUCCCCUAGCCCCUACGCGACUGCAAGGAAGAGACCUUGCUGCCGGGAGGGAGGCUGCCCCUGCUCAGAAACUGCAAACCUCACUGUUUCUCGGGAGUCCUGACAGCAGCUCGAGCAGAGAAGACAGGAAUCGAGCAGGAACUUGACGAAGAUCCACUGGCGUCGUGACUGCUCCCAGCUCAGGGAAAAGCUGUUCCUGGCUGCUGGCUGCCUGAACGCAGACUUCACACUCCUGCCCUGGGCGCCCACGGGGAACAGGAAAAACCCCAGCUGACAGGCUCCAAGCACAGCAGAAUGUGGCCCGGUCCCUGAGCACUGCCCGGGCCCUCGUCAGUCCUGCUCAGAGCUAUUUUAGCAGCUGCCCAGGAGGACCGUCUUCUGACUGGCGUCUUCAGAAGUGGGAUGAGGUCCAUUAUUAUUGCAAUAGCCUAUUUUAGUAGCGAGAAAGGAUGAAAGGGCAAGCUGCCCCCCAUCGGCCACUCCCGCUGGUCUUUACCGAACCAGGAACUAGCUCGCUCCAAAUGUGGCCGUACAGGUGCGCGACGAGGCACAGGUCUGCGCCAGAAAGGAGACCAGCACGGGGCUGAUGAGCAUUGCACGGGGUCUGCAGACCCGUCCAGCACGUGCCAGAGCCCUCAGGGAAC
Condylura cristata (star-nosed mole) is the source of this 867-nucleotide long non-coding RNA. RefSeq lists it as uncharacterized. The record is from RefSeq and is a predicted model, not a curated record. NCBI's taxonomy places the organism in Eukaryota, Metazoa, Chordata, Mammalia, Eulipotyphla, Talpidae. The transcript has 4 exons.